UCUAGUAAUAAUGCGAAGAGGCUACACUCGUUUUCAUGCCGAACACGGAAGUAAAGCGCUUCAGUGUCGAUAGUAGUUGGAGGGUUCCUCCUGUGAGAGUAGGACGUUGACAGAC
RNAcentral lists this ribosomal RNA (115 nucleotides) under Metabacillus litoralis. The record is from RNAcentral. Lineage: Bacteria; Bacillati; Bacillota; Bacilli; Caryophanales; Bacillaceae.